GAAGUUGGCCGGAUAGUCGCCGAGUGCAAUUGCGCUAGGAGGAAAGUCCGGGCUCCAUAGAGCAAAGUGCUAGUUAACGGCUAGGCGCAGUGAUGCGACGGAAAGUGCAGCAGAAAAUAAACCGCCU
This 127-nucleotide RNase P RNA is filed under the name Candidatus Thioglobus sp. Its description in RNAcentral is "partial RNase P RNA component class A". It matches the Rfam family "Bacterial RNase P class A", at positions 1 to 131 of the family's 367-position model. From Rfam's summary of the family: Ribonuclease P (RNase P) is a ubiquitous endoribonuclease, found in archaea, bacteria and eukarya as well as chloroplasts and mitochondria. Its best characterised activity is the generation of mature 5'-ends of tRNAs by cleaving the 5'-leader elements of precursor-tRNAs. Cellular RNase Ps are ribonucleoproteins. The record is from RNAcentral. Lineage: Bacteria; Pseudomonadati; Pseudomonadota; Gammaproteobacteria; Pseudothioglobaceae (SeqCode).